UACGUAGGGCGCAAGCGUUGUCCGGAAUUAUUGGGCGUAAAGAGCUCGUAGGUGGUUUGUUACGUCUGCUGUGAAAUCCUAGGGCUUAACCCUGGGCUUGCAGUGGAUACGGGCAGACUAGAGGUAGGUAGGGGAGAAUGGAAUUCCUGGUGUAGCGGUGAAAUGCGCAGAUAUCAGGAAGAACACCCGUGGCGAAGGCGGUUCUCUGGGACGGUACUGACGCUGAGACGCGAAAGCGUGGGGAGCGAACAGG
RNAcentral lists this ribosomal RNA (253 nucleotides) under uncultured bacterium. RNAcentral describes it as "partial 16S ribosomal RNA". It matches the Rfam family "Bacterial small subunit ribosomal RNA", at positions 524 to 776 of the family's 1533-position model. The record is from RNAcentral.